GCAUUGCGCUCAGUUGGUAAAACAUGAGGCUCUUGAUCUUAGGGUCAUGGGUUCAAGCCCCACAUUGUGCA
Podarcis lilfordi (Lilford's wall lizard) is the source of this 71-nucleotide non-coding RNA. Lineage: Eukaryota; Metazoa; Chordata; Lepidosauria; Squamata; Lacertidae. The record is from the annotation of a GenBank genome assembly.